RNAcentral lists this transfer RNA (71 nucleotides) under Dothistroma septosporum NZE10. Its description in RNAcentral is "tRNA-Thr for anticodon AGU". The record is from RNAcentral. Lineage: Eukaryota; Fungi; Ascomycota; Dothideomycetes; Mycosphaerellales; Mycosphaerellaceae.
GACUGUCAAACAGGUGGUAGAGCGCAUCACUAGUAAUGAUGAGGUCUUCGGUUCGACUCCGAAUGGAGGCA